AUGCAAAACUUACAUGUGUGACAUCCGACACAUCGUGUCUGUGCAAAAGGUGCCUAGUUAAAACCAGAAACCAGUUUGAAAAUUUGAAUUAAAUGCACACUCCACAAAAAAAUAACUGGUGAAAGGAGGAAAAAUCCUUACGUGUAGAUACAAACGUUUCUUGACAGAUGUAAAUGAAAACUAAUAUGGUGACAUUUUUCAAAUUAGCCAUUGGAAAACAUUACGUGCCUGCUUCUUUUGGGUUUGUGGGGGGCGUUUUGGUUUUGUUUUUUUUUUUUUUUAAACUGCCUAAGCAUUUUUCAGUUAUGUUGGCCUCAGAAAGUAUUUAUGAAAAGAAUAAUAAAUAAUUAAUUCAACUGGCUAGGAGCUGGAACUCCUCUCUGCCUCGACAAUAUACAUUGAAAUGCUGUUUAAAUUAUAAGAGCAAAUUGAUUCAAAAGGCUUCCAUUAGUGAGCUGGCAAACAGGUCUGAAGCCGGCUAAUAAAUUUUAGAUAAAGACAGUGCCUUUGAUGAGGAUGGCAACGCCGGAGUGCUGUUCUCGAGCCACCAGUGUGUUAAACAAGUGGCUAAAGUCUCGCCUCCUCCCCGUCUCAUAAGUCACUGCAUUAACCAUCAGCAGAGUCGGUCUCGGCGCCUGCCGUGAGCCUGGCAACUGCUUACAGAGCUGGGAGGCGACGGGCGAUCCGGGUUUCCAAUUUCAUGUCCCUUCCCACCACGCUAGUUUUUGGGUUUUUUUUUUGGUUGUUCCCCCCGCCUUUCCAUUUUUGGCCACCCCAUGGCACAUGGAGCUCCCAAGCAGGGAUCAGAUCUGAGCUGCAAUCUCGACCUAAGCUGCAGCUGCUGGGUCCUUAACUCACUGUGCCGGGCCAGGGGUUAAACCUGAGUCCCAGGAUGCCCCCAGUCCUGCUGCACCACAGUGGGAGCUCCCCACCACUCUGUUCUAACAGGUUUCACGGUAUAUUCAUCAAGGAGAAUUAGGCCCACCUGUGACAUAAAAAGUUCCACCUAUGCUGUGCCUUGCAGCCUAUCUAUGAGGAAAAAUUCUUAAUAAAAAUCAAGAAAUUAUGUGUAAAGGCCUUUGUUCCAUUCAGACAUGUAUCCUAUAAGCAGGUGGCAACGUGCCACUCAAGAUCACGGAAUAUUACACAGCUACUGAAAAGAGCAGGGGCAUUUACCAGCCUGGAAGGGAGACACCCACCAUCUUUGCCUUAGGGAGGCUGGAGCCGGCACCCACUUACUUUAGAAAAAGUCAACAAAGCCUCACUCGUGUGUGUUACACUCAUUACUGUCAGGGAAAAUGUGCAAGAAGUCGCCCCUGUGGCGCAUCUGUAUCGGCAGCAUCUGAGCAGCACCUGGACGCAGGUUCAAUCCCCAGCCCAAAACUCUGGGUGAAAGGAUCCGGUGUUGCCACAGCUGCAGCUCGGCCCUGAUCCCUGGCAGGGAUCUCCAUGUGCUGCAGGGCAGCCAAACAAGAAAAGAACAAAAAAAAAAAGAUGUGUAAGAACAUACAAACUAUUAAUCAAGGUUACCUGGGGCAGGAGGUGGUGGUGAAGGGGGAAUAAGGAGCAAAAGAGGAGAGUUUAGUG
RNAcentral lists this long non-coding RNA (1587 nucleotides) under Sus scrofa (pig). Its description in RNAcentral is "lncRNA (ENSSSCG00040002453.1)". Lineage: Eukaryota; Metazoa; Chordata; Mammalia; Artiodactyla; Suidae. The record is from RNAcentral.